AUGGAGCGGCGGAGGGCUGCGUGGGCCGCGGUGCUGGUGGCGGUGGCCGCGUGCGCGGCGCUGCCGGCGACGACGACGGCGAACAAGAUCAAAGUCAACUGGCUGCCCAACACCAACUACUCCGGCUGGGAGCAGGAGCACGGGCCCUUCUACAAGGGCGACUGGCUCGUGUUCUACUACACGGCGGGGCAGGCGGACGUGGUGGAGGUGAACGAGUCCGGGUACAACCGGUGCGACGCCAGCAACGCCAUCUACAACUACAGCAAGGGCCGCAGCUUCGCCUUCGAGCUCAACGAGACCAAGACCUACUACUUCAUCUGCAGCUUCGGCUACUGCCCCGGCGGGAUGCGGCUGGCCAUCAAGUCCCAGAACCUGCCGCCGCCGUCGCCGCCGCCCUCCGCGCAGCACCACCGCUCCGCCGCGCUCGCCGGGCCGCGCGCCGGGGUCGCCCUCUACGCCGCCGUCGCCGUCCUCGCCGCGCUCCUCAGGGCGGUCUAG
RNAcentral lists this ribosomal RNA (498 nucleotides) under Triticum aestivum (bread wheat). RNAcentral describes it as "partial small subunit ribosomal RNA". Lineage: Eukaryota; Viridiplantae; Streptophyta; Magnoliopsida; Poales; Poaceae. The record is from RNAcentral.